UCCAUGUGUGUGUUUUUGCUUAACUGGACAAGGACUAAAAGUAGAUGUAAAAGCUAAAUCCUCUUUUGCAUCUCAGAACUCAUUGUUGAGUAUGUUUUGAUACAAAUAAAAAGUGAUAAA
This 120-nucleotide small nucleolar RNA is filed under the name Peromyscus maniculatus bairdii (prairie deer mouse). RNAcentral describes it as "Small nucleolar RNA SNORA40 (ENSPEMG00000004744.2)". It matches the Rfam family "Small nucleolar RNA SNORA40". From Rfam's summary of the family: The snoRNA ACA 40 belongs to the H/ACA family of snoRNAs and guides the pseudouridylation of 28S rRNA subunit at position U4565. NB This family has a high threshold value to exclude a large number of closely related sequences that do not appear to have conserved H and ACA boxes, and may be pseudogenes. The record is from Rfam by way of RNAcentral. Lineage: Eukaryota; Metazoa; Chordata; Mammalia; Rodentia; Cricetidae.